Schizosaccharomyces pombe (fission yeast) is the source of this 1313-nucleotide non-coding RNA. NCBI's taxonomy places the organism in Eukaryota, Fungi, Ascomycota, Schizosaccharomycetes, Schizosaccharomycetales, Schizosaccharomycetaceae. The record is from the annotation of a GenBank genome assembly.
UGCAAGUUUUAGAACGACUUUGGAUAAUAAGAAUCGCUUAUUUGCUGUAUUAUCUUCAAAAAAGACUGACCAUUUUCACGACGCGUUUUUGGCGUGGUAUAUAAAUGGUGUCAAGAAGCUAAAAGCUUUCAUAUUAGGUUGAAGAAGUACUGAAUUUGUAUCAUUCAAUAAAUAGAAUUUACUUUUACAAAUCAAAUCUUUUAAUCUGAUUUAGUGAAACGGGAUCGACUUAUAACGUGCAAAACACAAAUACAGAUAAUACAAUUGAAAAUAAAGAGAAAGGUUUACUCGAAUAAAGUAGAAACCUAAUCAAUUUGACUAUUUUAAAACUAAUGCAUAAAAAACCCUGUAUAAACUAAUCAUCGUCAUCUUCAGCCUCCACAGUUUCGGCAUUGCCGGAAAGAGUCGCAUCCAAAGCAAUUUUAGCGUUGGCUAAACGUUGAAUGUGCUCUUCGAUGGUAUCCUUGACAACAAAUUUAUAAACUGUAACUUCUUUCUUUUGGCCAACUCUAUGUGCUCUAUCUUCCGCCUGAAGGUCAUCGAAUGGAUUGAAAGAGACAUCAUAAAGAAUAACCAUAUUAGCACACGCAAGAUUGAUACCAAAACCGCCGGCUUUGGUAGAAAGAAGAAAUACAUUAAUGCUUUCAUCAGCAUAAAAUUGAUCGAUGAGAUCCUGGCGGAAAUCGACUUGUGUAGAACCAUCAAAUCUUAAAAACUUUAGAUUUAAUGAUUUCAUGACAAGUUGAAGAAUGUCCAAAACCUGUGUAAACUGACUAAAUAAUACAACUCUGUCGCCAUUUUCAACAGCAUUAGUGAGCAGUUUUUUAAGUUUUCUGACCUUUGUGGCGUCCAUCCAAGGUUCAUCUUUAAGUUGGAAUGAAUUGAUAGACGGAAAUUUGCAACACAAAUUAUGUAGCUCAAUAUCUGACAUGUACUGCAUGUCUUCAAAUAUAUAAAGUUCGUUUGCCUUUUUGUAUUGGGGUUCAUUCAUAAUAGCUUUCGCCAUUUGUCGAAGGAUAUCAUCUUUAUAAUGAAUUCGAAACAACAUAGGGUGAUCCGCAAGCUUACGAAGCUGUACAAGCACAAAACCAGCUGUGCUUUUCUUCUUUGCAAGAUUUGCAUUCGUAUCUAAAUUAGUUUUCAUGACAUUUUCAUCCAAUAAAGAAUUUACACUUUGUUUGCUAGCGAAGUCAUCAUAACGGCGACGUUCCUCUUCGGAAAAUUCGCAAAAUUCUAUAAUACGCGUUUUCUUCGGCAAAGCAUCUAACACCUGGCUCUUUUUACGGCGAAGGACAAAUGGGGCCAUCAUCAUU